GCAAACUUGGUCAUUUAGAGGAAGUAAAAGUCGUAACAAGGUUUCCGUAGGUGAACCUGCGGAAGGAUCAUUAACAGAGAAUCGAAAAGCCUCUGCGUCCUGUUACCAGGCCAGAGACGCCUUUCUCAAACCCGCUUGUGAACCAGUAGCUUUUUCGAGCAGCCUUGCUUUGGCAGCAGGCCCAGACCCCUCCGCCCUCCCGAAGGGAGGGCGGAGGAUUUGGACCAUAAGCCUGCCGGCAGUGGCAACCUUUAUUAAAUACUGUUUUUUUACUAUAAUUCUGGUCUGAUAUGACUUAUUUUAUUUGGUGAAUGCCAGUUAAAACUUUCAACAACGGAUCUCUUGGUUCCCGCAUCGAUGAAGAACGCAGC
Molecule: unclassified non-coding RNA, 371 nt
Filed under: uncultured fungus
Lineage: Eukaryota; Fungi
Description: partial contains small subunit ribosomal RNA, internal transcribed spacer 1, and 5.8S ribosomal RNA
Rfam family: Eukaryotic small subunit ribosomal RNA (bases 1-73)
Source: RNAcentral